UCCGCCUAACCAAUGUGGCCGUGGUA
RNAcentral lists this non-coding RNA (26 nucleotides) under Homo sapiens (human). The record is from RNAcentral. Lineage: Eukaryota; Metazoa; Chordata; Mammalia; Primates; Hominidae.